GACGUAGGGCGCGAGCGUUGUCCGGAUUUAUUGGGCGUAAAGAGCUCGUAGGCGGCUCAUCGCGUCUGCCGUGAAAACCUGUGGCUCAACUACAGGCUUGCGGUUGAUACGGGUGGGCUGGAGUUCGGUAGGGGAGACUGGAAUUCCUGGUGUAGCGGUGAAAUGCGCAGAUAUCAGGAGGAACACCGGUGGCGAAGGCGGGUCUCUGGGCCGAUACUGACGCUGAGGAGCGAGAGCGUGGGGAGCGAACAGG
RNAcentral lists this ribosomal RNA (253 nucleotides) under uncultured bacterium. RNAcentral's name for it is "partial 16S ribosomal RNA". It matches the Rfam family "Bacterial small subunit ribosomal RNA", at positions 524 to 776 of the family's 1533-position model. The record is from RNAcentral.